AGCUAUAUAGUUUAAAAAAAAACAUUAAUUUUGUAAAUUAAAGAUAAAUUAAUUUUUAUAGCUU
Molecule: transfer RNA, 64 nt
Filed under: Histeromerus sp. QL-2013
Lineage: Eukaryota; Metazoa; Arthropoda; Insecta; Hymenoptera; Braconidae
Description: tRNA-Thr
Source: RNAcentral